This 117-nucleotide ribosomal RNA is filed under the name Periophthalmus magnuspinnatus. The record is from RNAcentral. Lineage: Eukaryota; Metazoa; Chordata; Actinopteri; Gobiiformes; Gobiidae.
AAAUGUGGGCAUAUCUGCUUGACAAUCCACAAUCUUGUCAGAACUCGGAAGCUAGGCAGGGUUGGCCUGAUUAGUGCUUAAAUGGGAGACCACUGGGAAUACCAGGUGCCACAGUAG